Molecule: long non-coding RNA, 1844 nt
Organism: Acinonyx jubatus (cheetah)
Lineage: Eukaryota; Metazoa; Chordata; Mammalia; Carnivora; Felidae
Exons: 5
Source: RefSeq, a predicted model, not a curated record
UCCAGUGUAGCCAAGAGAAAAGGGCUAUCAAAAGGGUUGGUUGGUACCUAUGAUUAGUAUACUCAAUUGUAGUGGUUAGUGAUUUUUGUCCUGAUGUUUGUUAGCAAAAUGUUAAUUUGCACAAAUUCAAGUUUAUUCUUAGCUGCUAUUUGGCCCUUGGAUAAAAGUCAGAAUCACGUGUUCUCCUGUGACUGAGGUUUUGCUAUGAAAAGCCUUAAAUACGGUACUUAAGAAAACAGCCUGGGAGUGCCAUCAAGAUCUAAAAGCAAGUUCUGUUGUUAGUUUGUCCGUUGCUUCACUAUCUCAUGCAAGCACAGUUUAUUCACUGUGGUGGGCUGGGUAGGAUGACCCACAGGAAAUAAUGGUGACUACACAGAGUCGAAGAUGAUUGCCCAGUUACUCUUCAGAUCAGAUCAGACUCCUCAGUGGAAAUGGUGUUAAAGAACGAUGGCCCGGAGGAGCUCGCACCUCCCACUUCGUGCAGCUCUAGAGGGAUGCAAAGCAUUAAAGACUAUGUUGAUACACCCAAAGGAACAACUGGAUGGUUUGGCCCAAAUCCUCUCCAGAAAGACAACAUCAUCCAAGUAGACCAGACAGACAACCUGAAGAUCUUCUUGAAGGGGGAGCCCCAAAUACUGGGGGUGACUCAGAUCCUGAUUGGUCUGAUGAAAGUGUGCCUGUUUGUUAUAGGUCUGUGUUUUUAUUCUUCUGACUUUCCCUACUGGUGUUAUCCUCUUACCAUGGUCUCAGGAUAUCCUGUAUGGGGAUCCUUAUUUGUGAGUAUGUUGGAAUAUCUCAACUUCCUCAGCGGUAGAGUUCACAAACAUUCCUUCCAGCCUUCCCUCUUACAAACCAAUGAUGUGACCUGGGAUUUUACUUCUUAGAGCAAAGUAUGUGGCCUAAAGACUGGGGUUCUGAUGACCUCUAGGGUACGUGGAAGGACAGGUGUAGGCUCACCAGGCUGAGUGGUUUCUUCCAUUUUCAGUUCUUCUUAUCUGGAGCUCUGUCUAUUGCAGCUGGAAGAAAAAUGACAUUGAACCUGGUAAGUAUGUUCCUGGGCCCAGAAGCAACAAGUAAAAUCAGAAGUGCUGUAUCUCAAGGCAAAAGAAAUGAUCUCUGAUUCUCUGAAUCAUCUGGGCUCUAUGGGGGUCAUGGCAAAUUCUUCCAUAAGGAAACUGAGGUUUGACUUACCUUUUGUUUUUGUUUUUGUUUUUUGCCCCUAUUGUCUGAAACUCCAUCCUUGGGAUUAAUCUGUGAAUAUAGAAUCCAAUGCUUCAGCGGUAUUCUCUUUUCUUUCUCAGACUUAGGAAAAUUAUUUGAGAAUGUGUCUUCAACCCCUUCCAAAUGAAUGAAAGUUUUUGUGUUCUCCGAAGGGAGGAAGGAGAAGAAACAGAGGGUUGUAGGGGACACUGAUCAUUCUCUUCCAGAUCAAAGGCAGCCUGGGAGUGAACUUGCUCAGUGCUGUUGCAGGAGUGAUAGGGAUAAUCGUGUUAAUAAUAGAACUGACUGUUCUAUUUGCACCGGAGAAAAAGUGUCUUAUUCUUAGGACGUUUGAGAUUGUGAUAUUAGUCCUCUCCCUGCUGGAAGUCAGCAUCGCUAUCUCUCUCUCUGUAUUUGGGUGCAAGGUGACCUGCUUUGUCACUCAGGUGGUGAUUAUCCAGUCAACCAAUGACAAGGUGUCUUCAGCAAUAGCCCCCCAUGAACAUAUUUAUGAGGAGCUGGAGUUCGAAUAGAAUAAUUCUUGCUUUUGAAAAUAUUAUUCAUCGUGUAUCUCUUUGCCUGCCAGGAAGUGUUCUCAUCUGUGCACAGGAGCAUAGUUAUUACACAACCAAAUAAAGUGCAUU